AUUGUCCCAGAAUGCACUGCGCUAUAGUUGCGCAUUCACACGUCCCCAAAAGAACCAGACUUUGUAGACAAACAAACUAGAGUUUGAUUGAAGCGGACAACUUAGAAUGGCCCACGAGUUUGCCACGUUUGUCAAACGUUGAGUAUCUAGUUGAGGAUCUGUGAUGUGACGUGGCAGCAAAGCAGCAGCGGCGGCGGCACAGUGGUUCCAGCAUCUGUUUGCUUCCACACACCUGACUGAAAUGGCUUCUGAAGCACUGGAUGGCUUGAAUCAGGUGUGCUGGAACAGAGGCUCAUCUAAACCACGCAGAGCAGAGCUACCUGAGGACCAGAGUUGAUGUAAAAGACUGAAAUGUCCCUCUGUUUACUUCAACAACACCAAAACCUCCCAUAACAACUCGGCUGCCCGGAGAGUGUCGAGAUGCAACCAGCUCCAUAGAACCAGGGAAGACGGUCUAAUGGACUCCCAGCACCACGGCUAAAAUGAAGACUUCUCUGAGGUUUCGACUGAACCGUCUCUGAUGCUCAAAGAAUAAGCUUUGUUCCUUCAAAUCAUUUAUUCUCGUAAAAAAUAUUCAGUGGGGAAAACAAAGUGAGGAUAAGAAUAACGAAUAACUCCUGUCUUGCUAUGGAAACCUGGUUGUGUUACUUUUACAGUAUGGCUCCUGAACUUAGUCGCUUUUAUUGGAUGGGGCAGGAUAAGCUAAUGUAUCACGGCGAGUCUCGGAGAUUAAGUCGAGUUACGACAUUUCAGCUGAAAAUGCUGACUGCUGGCCGUCACCAAGGUGCCAGAAAUGGACCUAAAUCAUCCAGAAGCUAAAUAACAGAUAGAAAAUACUGUUACUAUUGUGCCAUGUGGACAAAAACAAAAACCUGUUAGGGAAGUGAAGAAAGCCGGUAAGAGGAAAAGAGAAGGACAGAUACAGGGGCAGAAAAAUGAGGGGAGUCAGUGGGUGUUACACCCAGGAGGUGUGAAAGAAAUGCAGGAAACAUCUAGAAGGAAACAAAGGAUAGAAGAUGGACCAGGAGAAAAAAAAAUGGAGAAGCAGGAAGAAAGUGAGCAAGCGAGAGCGAGUUUAAGGAGAAUCGAUGCGAGCGCCUCUCCGCUGGGACGGAGCUAACAGCAGAGCAGACCCUGGAUCUCAGGUGUCCAGUCGAUGGCUGAUGCAUUAGACUGCUGAUACGCGCCGCUUUGGGUUCAAACACACAUUUUCUUAAUACAACAUGAACCCAUUUCCCCCCCUCAUUAAUCAUGUAAUCUGAUUAGGGUUGGAGGUCUGGGCUGCACUGCUCCGCUCACCGCCUUUCAUUUAUUCCUCCGUCGCCGAGCAGACCAACGUGUGCAUUAGCACAGGAAUAUUAGCUGAAAUUAAUGUAGCCCUGGACGGCUGAGGCACGCAUAUGGUAAAGCUGGAGCUUAGACGAGCCUUCAUAUUUACGUCACGUCUGGGCUUCAGCAUUUCAGUACAGGAUCAGUGGGAUCGGAGAGAAGUUUAACUGCGCUGACAGGCAUGUGAAAAAAAUGUCAGUUUUAUUUAGGGUCCAUGAAAUGCAACAUCAGUUCAGACAGAAGCUGAACUGACUAAAUAACAUUAAAUUAUUCCAAUCGUGUAACUCCGAUUUGCAUAUUUGUCAAUUCAUCACGAGUUUAAAUGUGGUUUUAUCUUUCUAAAUUAGUUGAAAAUAUUUACAACUUUUUUUUUUUUAUAAAUAUUGAGUGAAUUUAAACGUUACCUCCUUGAUUUGCCCAACAAGAAGAAGGAGGAAAAGUUCUGAGUCACACAGUGUGUCAGAAAUCAAGCCCCCUCAUCCUCCAUGCAGUGGCUUAGUUUGCUUAUUUAUUGGACCGGCUCUGUUAAUGCUCAAUUAAGCAUGUUAUUGAUCAGAAGCCUUUUUGUUGAAGAGAAGAAAAAAAAGUCAGAUUUUAGAAGCCUCCAAGCAUUUUCAGUGCUUAUUUCCUCAAACUGUU
Molecule: long non-coding RNA, 1968 nt
Organism: Poecilia latipinna (sailfin molly)
Lineage: Eukaryota; Metazoa; Chordata; Actinopteri; Cyprinodontiformes; Poeciliidae
Exons: 3
Source: RefSeq, a predicted model, not a curated record